Molecule: long non-coding RNA, 239 nt
Organism: Prunus persica (peach)
Lineage: Eukaryota; Viridiplantae; Streptophyta; Magnoliopsida; Rosales; Rosaceae
Exons: 3
Source: RefSeq, a predicted model, not a curated record
AUUUCAUAAUAAUAAUUUGUUUCAAAAGUUCAGACUUUCUUUUUCAGUAAAUUAAACAUUUUGGUUCUAUACCAUUUUUGCAGGUUACAAUCCCUGCUGCCAAUUUAUGAGUGGAGGAUCUGGACCUCCACUGCCACAGGAAAAGGAGGAUACUUGGUGUGUGCCUAAGCCAGGAACCCCAGACUCUGCAUUACAGAACAUCAUAAACUUCACUUGUGGAAUAUUAAAAGAAUGCAGUG